RNAcentral lists this ribosomal RNA (423 nucleotides) under uncultured bacterium. RNAcentral describes it as "bacterial SSU rRNA". It matches the Rfam family "Bacterial small subunit ribosomal RNA", at positions 357 to 772 of the family's 1533-position model. The record is from RNAcentral.
GGGAAUAUUGGACAAUGGGCGCAAGCCUGAUCCAGCCAUGCCGCGUGUGUGAAGAAGGCCUUCGGGUUGUAAAGCACUUUUGUACGGGAAGAAAAGCACUCGGUUAAUACCCGGGUGUCAUGACGGUACCGUAAGAAUAAGCACCGGCUAACUUCGUGCCAGCAGCCGCGGUAAUACGAAGGGUGCAAGCGUUACUCGGAAUUACUGGGCGUAAAGCGUGCGUAGGCGGUUUGUUAAGUCUGUCGUGAAAGCCCCGGGCUCAACCUGGGAAUGGCGAUGGAUACUGGCGAGCUAGAGUACGGUAGAGGAGAGUGGAAUUCCCGGUGUAGCAGUGAAAUGCGUAGAGAUCGGGAGGAACAUCAGUUGCGAAGGCGGCUCUCUGGACCAGUACUGACGCUGAGGCACGAAAGCGUGGGGAGCAAA